RNAcentral lists this non-coding RNA (24 nucleotides) under Arabidopsis thaliana (thale cress). The record is from RNAcentral. Lineage: Eukaryota; Viridiplantae; Streptophyta; Magnoliopsida; Brassicales; Brassicaceae.
AGGAGUAUGUGGGACACGUGCCCC